GCCUGCGUAGCUCAGUGGUAGAGCGAGCCCUUCAUAAGGGUUAGGUCCCUGGUCCGAUCCCAGGCGCAGGCA
RNAcentral lists this transfer RNA (72 nucleotides) under Candidatus Uhrbacteria bacterium RIFCSPHIGHO2_01_FULL_47_11. RNAcentral's name for it is "tRNA-Met". It matches the Rfam family "tRNA". Rfam says of the family: Transfer RNA (tRNA) molecules are approximately 80 nucleotides in length. Their secondary structure includes four short double-helical elements and three loops (D, anti-codon, and T loops). The record is from RNAcentral. Lineage: Bacteria; Candidatus Uhriibacteriota. RNAcentral also lists the same sequence under 5 other names.